CUUGUUCUGUUCGAGGGCAAGCUUAAAAAAAAAACACACAAAGGUAGAAGACGACGACGAUAUCCCCCUACGCGCUCUGUUGCAGAAGAAAGAAAAGUAUAUGUCUGGAAGAAACCGGAUUCACCGAGACAGUUAUCAUGAUCAUCGGCGUGAUUUGCCUCCGGAGAGACCAUUUCUCAGAGGCCCUCCUCCAUUGUUACAGCCUCCACCACCAUCUUUGUUAGAUGAUCUCCAGAUUCAGGAGGUCGAAAUCAGAAGGCUUUUGAAUGAUAAUCACAGACUAGCUGAGGACAGAAUGGUUCUGGAGCGAGAACUCGGCUCUGCUAAGGAAGAGCUUCACCGGAUGAAUCUCAUGAUCUCUGAUCUUCGUGCUGAACAAGAUCUGCGGUCCAGGGAGUUCAGUGAGAAAAGGCAUAAGCUUGAGGGAGAUGUUCGUGCUAUGGAGUCUUAUAAGAAGGAGGCUUCCCAGUUGCGUGCUGAGCUUCAGAAGCUAAAUGACGUUAAGCGUGGAUUAAGUGGAGAUGUUCAGAUUCUUAGGAAAGAUCUGGGUAAAUUGCAAUCUGAUAACAAGCAGAUUCCGGGUAUGAGAGCUGAGGUUAAAGAUCUGCAGAAGGAGCUUAUGCUUGCUAGAGACGCAAUUGACUAUGAAAAGAAGGAAAAGUUUGAGCUUAUGGAGCAGAGGCAGACAAUGGAAAAGAACAUGGUUUCUAUGGCGCGCGAAGUUGAAAAGCUACGAGCUGAACUUGCUACUGUUGAUAGUAGGCCGUGGGGUUUUGGUGGAUCAUAUGGGAUAAAUUACAACAAUAUGGAUGUAGCUUACCGUGGUUCUUAUGGCGAAAACGAUAGUUUCUUGGGAUCUUCGGAAAGGAGUCAAUACUACAGCCAUGGGUCUGCCUCACAGAAGAAACCUCGCUUGGAUCGUCAUUGAAAUCUAUAAAUGAUGUUGGGGAAAAAGAGUGAGGUGACAACUGAAAUUCCCACUUCGCAAUACUCCUCUGGUUGUUUGUGGGUAUGCAUCUAUCCUAAAUCGAAAUGCGAGAAAGCUUCAAAAGAAUAAACCUGAGACCAUUUAUCUAAGAGUUGGUACAGACAAAGAACCAGAAAGGUUAUAACAGAAACCAGUGGUUAGAACAGGAGGAAACAUCUUCGAUCUUUUUCCUUUCACCAACGUCUUGGUAUCAGGGAAGAAACCGUCGCCAACUUCCUCAA
Molecule: non-coding RNA, 1209 nt
Organism: Camelina sativa (false flax)
Lineage: Eukaryota; Viridiplantae; Streptophyta; Magnoliopsida; Brassicales; Brassicaceae
Source: RefSeq, a predicted model, not a curated record